CCGUCUCCUCCCCUAACCCCUUUCGGCUGCCGCUCCAGGGCCUCGGAGAGGCCAGCCGGCCCGCGGAGCUGUUUAACCGUUCCGCGGGUCCUAGAAAGCCAGCUGCCCUCAGGCUUGCUUAAAGGGGAGACGCCGGAGUGGGUGUGCCCCGACGUCCUGCGAGGGCAGCGCCGAGGGGCGUGUGCCCUGAAGGCCCGCUGAACAGCCGCUUUUGGCCGGGCGCGGUGGCUCACGCCUGUAAUCCCAGCACUUUGGGAGGCCGAGGCGGGAGGAUCCCUUGGGCCCAGGAGGAGUUCGAGACCAGCCUGGGCAGUGUGGCGAGACCGUCCCCCACCCCCGUCUCUAAAUAUAUAUAAACAUAUAUAU
This 366-nucleotide long non-coding RNA is filed under the name Homo sapiens (human). RNAcentral's name for it is "HSALNT0259875". The record is from RNAcentral. Lineage: Eukaryota; Metazoa; Chordata; Mammalia; Primates; Hominidae.